CACACAUACUCCAUGCUACCCUUGCCCUGGGGGCUGAGUAGAGCCCUGAGGGAUCAUCCUCUUCACCACCAGCCUAGACCUCAAUGAGAUUAACCUAGGCAGCUCUGUGAGGAUGGCAGACUUGUCCUUGGGAUGCGCAGCCCACGCAGGCCACUGUGCUCAGGGUCAGGUCUGAAUUUCACAGCUCACAUGAGUCUCUUCAGUCUUUGCCUAGCCUUAAAACUGAAGGAGUUUCUGGGCAGGGUCACACUUUGCCUGAGCUGGUCUUAGCACAAAGAUGGCACUAAUUAAACAGUUACGUAAAUAAUAACCACUUCAGGUUAGUUAAUCAGCCUAGAUAACAUAUCCAGCUCCCACACAGCACUCUCUUCUCAUCCACACAGCAAACACUGCAAUUUUAGUGCAAUGCUGAUGCAGUGUUGAAACACCCAGUAAUCAUUCAUUAGCUGAAACACUAGCAUCUAACAGCAAGCAGCAUAGCAUCUCAGCUCUGCAUCCCCUGAGGCCCUCAAGAGAUUAUUAAAAAUCCCCAGGUCCUCAGAAAUGUCAGUCUGGGAAUCCCUUUGUUUUAAACAAAAUGAAGGACUGGUCCUCUCUUUGAAACGCCCAACUUAUUCUCAGAGCCUUUUUAAAUCAAAUACAGAUAUGCUCUAUUCUUUCUGCAGAUCCAUCUGGCUGCUUAAAGGCAAAGAAAAGAACACUGCCACAUAAAGUGCGUACGCAUCUCCAGACAAAUUAAACCCCAGAGCCAGGUCAACGACCAGCUGAGUAUCCUGGGGAUGGGCAGGUAUUUUAACCGUGUGGCAGCUUGCUGGAGGAGAAGGAAGGAGAGGACGUGGGGAAGGCAUAGGGAACCAAAAAAGAGAACAGAUUUGUUAUUAGAAAGAUGACAUUUACAAAUACCAUUCCCUUUGGGUGAAGUUACACUUAAGCUAGAUGGCUCAGACAAUACUAAAACUGAGAUGAGGCUUUAUUUCUGAAGUUCUUUUCUUCUGAGGAACCUGAGACACUUUCAGAGAAGCAUGAAUUAAGCCUCACAACAGUAGUGUGCAUGAAACAGUGACUAUUCUCCAUUUAGUAGAAGGGGUAUACAAAUGCAAAGAGGUCAUGUGAGUUGUUUGAGGGCGUACAGGAAGUCUGUGGCACAGCACAGAAAUAGAAUCCAGACCUCUUGACUCCUAGACUUGUACUUCAACCACAACUCAUCUUUCUUCCCUUAAACAAUCAAGAAGUUGAAAGCCAAGCAGCAUCAAGUCAAACAUCUGAGCGAUGCUUGUCUUAGAUUUGUGAUGUGGCUCAGACUGUGUUCCUUCGGGCUGGCUAGAAACUGACACAGAAACAUCACUUCCUGAGGGGUCGUGAGAAAUGGAAGAAGACGGAGGGAAGAGGACUACUGAGACACUGAGACUUUCAAACCCAUCUUCUCAGCCUUCUCCUUACCAUAAAAUGACACAGCAGUGUUUUCUUCUGUUACCAUGGUGUUCUGCAAAUGACUUCAGCUCACUAACUAGAAAUUAAAUGGGCAAACCUCUGAAAGUUUGGCAGUUUGAAUAAACAUCUGCAGGGAUCUGGCUGGACCUGGGGACAGGCUGUCCUUUGCAAAAGAAACCACAGAAAUUGCUUGAGACGCACCACUCUUCUAAGGGCUUGUGCUGAGUCUAAAGGAAAGAGUGUGAAGCAUGUAAUGUCUGCACCCAGAGAGAGGUGAGAGAGUGGCUGAGAGAAGUUUCUCAUGGGGAGAAUCUACGCAGUGCAGAAACCUAGAAGUGAUCAGAAAAUAGGGAGCUGCAAUUUGAAAAUAGUAACAAUCUGCAGUCUAGGCAAAAUCUAGGAGUUCAUUUAGAAGACCACUGGGGGCAGAAAGAAGCUGCAAAAGCUCUGCUAGAGUAUUACAUCACAAAUGGCUGGAGUUAUCUGACUUUGCCAAGGCUAUUCUUACCUCUGUUACUAAAGCUUCCUGACGUGGGUUAUGUGAGAAUUUAAGUAAGCUUCUUCGGUUGGGAUGGGCAUUUUUUUUUCUUCUGACUAAGCGCUCAUAUAAGAAGACAUAAAUUGCUCCACAAAAUGCCUCUCUUUCCAGGGGGAAGAGCUAUUUGGAAGGGACACCUGGUGACCGCAGUGGCCAUGGGGCCACCAGCCAGCCUGCUCUCCUGGGUGAUGCAGCCGACUGCAGCAGAACAACAUGAACAUGCUGUCAGAUGCCUUGCAUCUGUGUACUCUCAUUCCUGCUCUAUUGUGCAACUAUUCCACUCCAGUCUCAGCUGAGGCUUCAAGUGGGAAUAACCCAAAAUACCACAACAACAGCUGUUUUGUUGGAUUUUAUGGAGCUGAAACCCAGGAGUCCUGGAAAUCUUCAAAUAAAGCUUUUUCCCAUAAAAGAAACUUCCAGAUGCAUAAGCCUGAGUGUUUGUGAGCAGCUCAUGUCUGUGUAGUAAGCUUGCAUUUUUUAUGUCUUCCCCUUGUCAUUUCAUUUAUAAUAAAUGUGUAAUAACUUGCUAAGUACUGCAGUAAUUCCUAAGAACAUUAAUGCAUUAUUUGAUGGUGAAAUUUCACUGGAAGGCCACCAUCAUCUGACUCCACAUAUUUUAGCAGGCUUUCCUUUACUGAAUAGAUUGCCUUUGAAUAAAAAAUUCCAAAAUUGAGAGCAGUCUUUAGGAAAAAUUUUCAUGGGUUUGACAAGCCAGUGGACAAGGGUUACAAUGCUCAAAGCUGCCUGUGAUAUGUAACAUGUCUUUUUUACCAGGCGGUGAAGGAGCAUAUUUCUACAUGAGGCAUUUCAAAGAAAGCCAGAUCAUUUUUUCCACAGGCAGCAGGAUGCUGUGCGCAAACAGUCACCCCACGUUUGUCAUCUUACAGUAAGGCUCUGAGACUUCACCUACGGAAGCUUCACAAAGCUUUACAAUACACUAUCUGCUCACUGUGAUGUCUUACACACUUUCCAACUGCUAUAGAAAAGGGUGAAA
Gallus gallus (chicken) is the source of this 2963-nucleotide long non-coding RNA. NCBI's taxonomy places the organism in Eukaryota, Metazoa, Chordata, Aves, Galliformes, Phasianidae. The record is from Ensembl.